This 491-nucleotide long non-coding RNA is filed under the name Phoenix dactylifera (date palm). RNAcentral describes it as "long non-coding RNA (PDAC_LNC015080)". Lineage: Eukaryota; Viridiplantae; Streptophyta; Magnoliopsida; Arecales; Arecaceae. The record is from RNAcentral.
GCAUUUAUGUAUGAAUAUUGAUGCAACCAGGGGUGACUUCUAAAUUUGUUCUCUUCUUUGCAUGCCAUCUUCUCUAGCAAUAGGUGAGGCAUUUCUGGAAGGUCUACUACACUGCUGGCAACCAAUCUGCAUUCUUUGUAAGUUAGAGAGGUCAUCACCCGAGGAGAAGAGGAGCAUGGAUCUUCUCUUUUUUGUGUGUAUGUAUGUAUAUUGAUGAGAUGAUGGGUGACUUGUAAAAUUGCUCUUCUCUUGUUUGCGAGUCAGCUUCUCUAGCAAUAGGCUGGGAACUUCUGGAAGUGGCGAAUUUGAGCCUCUUCUUCCUUUUCCCGUUUUGCCUUUUAAUUUCUUGUUUUUUGAAGAUUAUAUUUUUUUAAGGCUUCUUUAAUUACAAAACUGUAAUUAAAUUUCUUCUGAUGUGUUUUUUCUGUUGUUCCUGAAGAAUUCAUAGGAUUUGGAGGCUGAUGAUAGUUUCGAGAUAAGAUGGUAUCAAU